Molecule: unclassified non-coding RNA, 848 nt
Filed under: Hevea brasiliensis (rubber tree)
Lineage: Eukaryota; Viridiplantae; Streptophyta; Magnoliopsida; Malpighiales; Euphorbiaceae
Source: RNAcentral
AAUGCAAAAAUGUUUGUAGAUAUGUACCAGCUGGAUUGCCCUAUUGCACAUGAUGAUAUGGCAUUGUUUAAUAACAAAUCAAAUAACCCAACAGCCAGCCAGGGUCCAGCAACAUCUGAGAGCAACGACCUACCUAGAGCAAGGCCAUUAUCAGGCUCAACUUUUGGUAAGCUGAAAAGCUCCAGUGGGGGCAAAGACAUCCAGUUCAUAGACAUGGGACAUAAAAUUCUUGUUAGAGGUGAUAGCAUGAGCACACCACCAGCAACUAAGGCUGAUAUUGAGCUGCUAGCAAAGAACAGAGGCACUGCCAUGCAGCGUUACAAAGAGAAGAAAAAAACCCGAAGAUAUGAUAACCACAUACGUUAUGAAUCAAGAAAGGCAAGAGCUGAUUCUAGGAAGCGAGUGAAGGGUCGAUUUGUGAAGGCUAGUGAUGCUCCUGAUGGGUGAAAUUGUGCUUUAGAUAGAGCUCCUUGUUCUGAAAUGGCAGUGGCUGAGAAGAAGAACUGGUGGCAUAGCAGGCUGGAUGUGAAGAUGGUAGCAGCAGGUCUAAGUUUUGAAGCUGGUGAUUAGCUUAUCCUUCACCCAGCCCGAUUAACGGCUUAACAUGGUAUAACCCAUCAGUCAGUUUUUUGUCUCGAGUGAAACAGAAAUGAGUAGGUUAAGAAGAUGUUUUCUUGCAUGUAAAAUACCGUAACCAGGUCAUUUCAUUUGGCCGUUCUUGGAUUUUAGACACUCCUUGCGGCUUUGAUUGCUAAUUCCACUGUACUCGUGAAAGCGCCCCAUGGCUCUUGAUUCUUUGAACUUAAUGUGGCGAAAACCCAAUUCAUAAUUUGAUUACUGGAUUUCAG